This 253-nucleotide ribosomal RNA is filed under the name uncultured bacterium. RNAcentral describes it as "partial 16S ribosomal RNA". It matches the Rfam family "Bacterial small subunit ribosomal RNA", at positions 524 to 776 of the family's 1533-position model. The record is from RNAcentral.
UACGGAGGGGGCUAGCGUUGUUCGGAAUUACUGGGCGUAAAGGGCGCGUAGGCGGCGCCGCAAGUCGACUGUGAAAUCUCCGGGCUUAACCCGGAAAGGUCAGCCGAUACUGCGGGGCUAGAGUGCAGAAGGGGCAACUGGAAUUCUCGGUGUAGCGGUGAAAUGCGUAGAUAUCGAGAGGAACACCUGCGGCGAAGGCGGGUAGCUGGGCCGACACUGACGCUGAGGCGCGAAAGCCAGGGGAGCGAACGGG